GAUGAACGCUGGCGGCGUGCCUAAUACAUGCAAGUCGAGCGAACAGACGAGGAGCUUGCUCCUCUGACGUUAGCGGCGGACGGGUGAGUAACACGUGGAUAACCUACCUAUAAGACUGGGAUAACUUCGGGAAACCGGAGCUAAUACCGGAUAAUAUAUUGAACCGCAUGGUUCAAUAGUGAAAGACGGUUUUGCUGUCACUUAUAGAUGGAUCCGCGCCGCAUUAGCUAGUUGGUAAGGUAACGGCUUACCAAGGCAACGAUGCGUAGCCGACCUGAGAGGGUGAUCGGCCACACUGGAACUGAGACACGGUCCAGACUCCUACGGGAGGCAGCAGUAGGGAAUCUUCCGCGAUGGGCGAAAGCUUGACGGAGCAACGCCGCGUGAGUGAUUAAGGUCUUCGGUUCGUAAAACUCUGUUAUUAGGGAAGAACAAAUGUGUAAGUAACUAUGCACGUCUUGACGGUACCUAAUCAGAAAGCCACGGCUAACUACGUG
This 497-nucleotide ribosomal RNA is filed under the name uncultured bacterium. RNAcentral's name for it is "partial 16S ribosomal RNA". It matches the Rfam family "Bacterial small subunit ribosomal RNA", at positions 28 to 507 of the family's 1533-position model. The record is from RNAcentral.